AAAAGCAAAUAAGUACGGAACGCAGCGAAAAAUUAAAAUCGUGCGAUAAUCGUGCGAAUGGUUUUUAUGCCCAGAAUUGUUCAGAAACAAAGUCUGAUGUUUUUAAGCUGCAAAAUCCUUUAUAACUUUCACUUAACACUACGAAAAUUAUGAAAACCAACGCAAGUUUUGCCGAGUUUCUUUGUUUGAGUGAGUUUAAAACAUUGGAUUCGAGAUAUUCAAAUUAAUUUCCACUUAAAAACCUGCUAAAACAAUGCCUUCAUAUUUAAAGCUUGACUCCAGUGAAAAUCAUUUUCGCAGGAAAACAUAAAAUUUCAAAAGCAUUAGGCUUCGAGUGCUCCCCCUGUGAACUGCUAAAACAGUUUAGCACAUAAUUAUUCACAUUAAGCACCGAUAACAACUUCAUAAAUAAUAUCCAAAUAUGAAGAUCAUUCAUAUGUAAUUCCUCAAAAUCCUUAAAGCACCUAAAAAUGUAUCUAAAAGCAAAUAAUUAUGAAACACAGCGAAAAAUUAAAAUCGUGCGAUAUUUGUGCGAAUGGUUUUUAUGCCCAAAAUUGUUCAAAACCAAAAGUCUGAUGUUUUAAACUUCGAAAUCCUUUAGAACCUACACUUAACACCAUGAAAAACAACAAGAAAAUUAAAAUCAUGCGAAAAUUGUUCGAAUGUUUUUUAUGCCCAGAAUUGUUCGAAAACAAAGUAUGAUAUUUUGAGCUUCAAAAUCCUUUCUAAGUUUCUUUGUUUGAGCAAGUUUAAAACAUUGGAUUCAAGAUUUUGAAAUUCAUUUCCAUUUAAAAACCUGCUAAAACAAUGCUUUCCUAUUUUAAAGCUUCACUCCAGUGAAAAUCGUUUUCAAAGCAAAACAUAAAAUUUCAAAAAGCAUUAGGCUUCGAGUACUCCCCUGUAAACUGGUAGAAAGCACAAAACGAUAUCCAACUUCAUAAAUAAUAUCCAAAUAUGAAGAUCACUCAUAUGUAAUUCCUCAAAAUCCUUAGAGCACCUAAAAAUGUAUCUAAAAAGCAAAUAAGUAUGAAACGCAGCGAAAAAUUAAAAUCGUGCGAUAAUCGUGCGAAUGGUUUUUAUGCCCAGAAUUGUUCAGAAACAAAGUCUGAUGUUUUUAAGCUGCAAAAUCCUUUAUAACUUUCACUUAACACUACGAAAAUUAUGAAAACCAACGCAAGUUUUGCCGAGUUUCUUUGUUUGAGUGAGCUUAAAACAUUGGAUUCGAGAUAUUCAAAUUAAUUUCCACUUAAAAACCUGCUAAAACAAUGCCUUCAUAUUUUAAAGCUUGACUCCAGUGAAAAUCAUUU
Molecule: long non-coding RNA, 1307 nt
Filed under: Durio zibethinus
Lineage: Eukaryota; Viridiplantae; Streptophyta; Magnoliopsida; Malvales; Malvaceae
Description: long non-coding RNA (DZIB_LNC001854)
Source: RNAcentral